GAUGAACGCUAGCGGCAGGCCUAAUACAUGCAAGUCGGACGGGAUCUAUCGGAGAGCUUGCUCGAAGAUAGUGAGAGUGGCGCACGGGUGCGUAACGCGUAAGCAACCUACCCAUAUCAGGGGGAUAGCCCGGAGAAAUCCGGAUUAAGACCGCAUAACACUGUGAUUUGGCAUCAUGUUACAGUUAAAUAUUUAUAGGAUAUGGAUGGGCUCGCGUGACAUUAGCUAGUUGGUGAGGUAACGGCUCACCAAGGCGACGAUGUCUAGGGGCUCUGAGAGGAGAAUCCCCCACACUGGUACUGAGACACGGACCAGACUCCUACGGGAGGCAGCAGUAAGGAAUAUUGGUCAAUGGGCGGAAGCCUGAACCAGCCAUGCCGCGUGCAGGACGACUGCCCUAUGGGUUGUAAACUGCUUUUGUCGAGGAAUAAACCUAUCUACGUGUAGAUAGCUGAACGUACUCGAAGAAUAAGGAUCGGCUAACUCCGUGCCAGCAGCCGCGGUAA
Molecule: ribosomal RNA, 506 nt
Filed under: uncultured bacterium
Lineage: Bacteria
Description: partial 16S ribosomal RNA
Rfam family: Bacterial small subunit ribosomal RNA
Source: RNAcentral